Molecule: ribosomal RNA, 102 nt
Filed under: Callithrix jacchus (white-tufted-ear marmoset)
Lineage: Eukaryota; Metazoa; Chordata; Mammalia; Primates; Cebidae
Source: RNAcentral
GUCUGUGGCCAUACCACCCUGAACAUGCCUGAUCUCAUCUGAUCUCAUAAACUAAGCAGGAUUGGGCCUUGUUAGUACUAGCCAGGCACAGUGGCUCACGCC